RNAcentral lists this long non-coding RNA (337 nucleotides) under Cricetulus griseus (Chinese hamster). RNAcentral describes it as "lncRNA (ENSCGRG00015041620.1)". The record is from RNAcentral. Lineage: Eukaryota; Metazoa; Chordata; Mammalia; Rodentia; Cricetidae.
UGUCAAUAAACAAUUACAGUAAGUUUUUCUGAGUCUUCGAGGCAGUCGGUGAUCAGCAAAGUGCUCCUGGACUUUCAGAGGAGGAAAACUCAGUCUUCGAUGAAAGUGAUUGGAGCAGGCUAGACGGGAGAAGAAUUUGACCUGGAAGCUAGAAGGGUUAUAGUCCCAGAUGGUGGAGCAAAGGCAUGGUGGCAAGAAUAACCGGAACAUCCACUGAAAGCUCCUAUCUUGAUCUACUAGCAAGAGGCAGAGUGAGAGGGCACACUGGGAAUGUCUUCACCAGAGCCAACUGGAUGUUAAUGCUAUGCUAUUGAGCUGCUUGGACAAUGAGUUAAAU